Molecule: ribosomal RNA, 444 nt
Filed under: uncultured bacterium
Lineage: Bacteria
Description: bacterial SSU rRNA
Rfam family: Bacterial small subunit ribosomal RNA
Source: RNAcentral
CCAGACUCCUACGGGAGGCAGCAGUGGGGAAUAUUGCACAAUGGGGGAAACCCUGAUGCAGCGACGCCGCGUGAGCGAAGAAGUAUUUCGGUAUGUAAAGCUCUAUCAGCAGGGAAGAAAAUGACGGUACCUGAGUAAGAAGCUCCAGCUAAAUACGUGCCAGCAGCCGCGGUAAUACGUAGGGGGCAAGCGUUAUCCGGAUUUACUGGGUGUAAGGGGAGCGUAGACGGCGAUACAAGUCUGAAGUGAAAGCCCGGGGCUCAACCCCGGGACUGCUCUGGAAACUGUGUAACUUGAGUGCAGGAGAGGUAAGCGGAAUUCCUAGUGUAGCGGUGAAAUGCGUAGAUAUUAGGAGGAACACCAGUGGCGAAGGCGGCUUACUGGACUGUAACUGACGUUGAGGCUCGAAAGCGUGGGGAGCAAACAGGAUUAGAUACCCCGGUA